Molecule: ribosomal RNA, 441 nt
Filed under: uncultured bacterium
Lineage: Bacteria
Description: partial 16S ribosomal RNA
Rfam family: Bacterial small subunit ribosomal RNA
Source: RNAcentral
CUACGGGGCGCUGCAGUGGGGAAUAUUGGACAAUGGGCGAAAGCCUGAUCCAGCCACGCCGCGUGGGUGAUGAAGGCCUUCGGGUUGUAAAGCCCUGUCGAGGGGGAAGAAGUUCUGACGGUACCCCUCAAGAAAGCACCGGCUAACUCCGUGCCAGCAGCCGCGGUAAUACGGAGGGUGCAAGCGUUGCUCGGAAUCACUGGGCGUAAAGCGCACGCAGGCGGCUUGCCAAGUCGGAUGUGAAAGCCCCGGGCUCAACCCGGGAACUGCAUUCGAAACUGGCAGACUUGAGUCCGAGAGAGGGGGGUGGAAUUCCUGGUGUAGAGGUGAAAUUCGUUGAUAUCAGGAGGAACACCGGCGGCGAAGGCGGCUACCUGGCUCGGUACUGACGCUCAUGUGCGAAAGCGUGGGGAGCAAACAGGAUUAGAUACCCCAGUAGUC